RNAcentral lists this long non-coding RNA (1826 nucleotides) under Homo sapiens (human). RNAcentral describes it as "long non-coding RNA NONHSAT153787". The record is from RNAcentral. Lineage: Eukaryota; Metazoa; Chordata; Mammalia; Primates; Hominidae.
UGGCCAUGUUUUUCUCAAUUAAUCUUUUUCUUCUAGGUAUGUGUUGCAGGUUGGAUUCUGUGAAAGCCAACUCUGAGAAAGAGAUUAAAAUGCUAGGAGUUUAUUAGGAAGUGCAGUUGGAGUCAGCACCUGUAGAAGAAAGAGAUAGAGAUAGGACUGGGAGGUGAGAGAAACUCUUGCAGGCAUCAGUCUCAACAAGGUUUCAACCAAUUACAUGGGAGCUCUGGAGCUGUUAAUAGAUGGCCCUUCAGUGGCCUUUUGUUGCUGGGAGGAGCCCGGGUGUCCAUACUUUUAUAUCAACCAGGCAUUGGAUGUAGGCUUCUUCAGGAAGGAGGUAUGACCUUGAGCAAUGCAGGGCUCUUCAACUAAGGGCAAUUUUCUGAGAUUUCCUGAAACAUAUAGUUGAGCAUUAUCUUCCAGGAGCACUCCUCGCAGAUGGGAGCACAGGUUCUUCUGACCUGCAGGGGAAUCUAAGCAGCCAAAUACAACAAUUACAUACUUCCUCUUAAGUUAUCUUUUCUGGAGUCUGUUCAGAAGCUAAAUUUGCUUUUUUGUUUUAUAUUUAAUAACUAUCAAUGGCUGUUAUUUUGAAGUCAAUUAAUAAAAGGAAAGUUUGCUAGUAGGAGAUGUCACAGAAUUCAUGAAAGCCCUUUGACAAUUUGCUACGCCUCUUGUAUGUACUGGGAUUGGAUAUAGUGAUAUGCACUAUAUCCAACAGGGGAUAUUUCCUUCCUUCCUUCCUUCCUUCCUUCCUUCCUUCCUUCCUUCCUUCCUUCCUUCCUUCCUUCCUUCCUCUCUCUCUUUCUUUCUUUCUUUUUCUUUCUUUCUUUCUUUUUCUUUCUUUCUUUCUUUUUCUUUCAUCUUUCUUUCUCUUUCUUUAUUCUUUCUCAUAUUAGGCAUCUAAAGCUCUUGGUAUUGACAGAUAAGCAAGAUUCAACUAAAAUGGAACUUCUAAAGUAAAUAGUAAACUUGGGGGUAAGUAAAUAAUUAAUUUUUAAAAAGGAACUAUCAUUAUUUAGCCCAGAGAAGAAACUUUUUGUAUGGUUGGAGGACAGAGAUGUGCCAUCCUCUUUAUGUGCAGAAAGGAUAAGUUGUUUGAUUUUUGUUUAAUAACAGGUGGAACUUUAGUAAGAAUAAGGUAGGUGGUGUGUGCCUACAGCAAAAUAAUGGAACAAACCAGAAACCCAGCUGUUUGAUUUGAAUUUAUUUGGUUACAGUGUUUUGGUAACAUAAAGAGAAAAAGGGAAUUUAUUAGAAAGAUACCUGUUUAAAACCUAUCACCAUAAUCCAAAAAGGAGUUGGAAAAUCAAUCACACAGUAUCUUUCAAGGUUUCUAUAGAAUUUUAACUUUCACUCAAGAGAAAAGCCAUUAAUGCAAUUUGGCUGUGACUCAACAUAAUAUUUCUUACUCUCAAAUCUGUAUUCAUCGGGAGAAAUUGCAACUGACUCAGAUUCAGUAAAGUGUCUAUUUCUAGAUUAAAUAAGGGUAGCAGGUGGGCGGGAUCAUGUUAAGCUCAUGGAGCAGCUUUCUUGUGGGCAAUGGAAGGCUCUGUCGUAGCGAUCAAUUCUUCUGUUUACUACUACUCGGCAAAUAGGGACACUAUUUUACUUAGUGUACAUAGGCAAAUAUCAAGGGUGUGUGUGUGUGUGUGUGUGUUGUAAAAUGGAAGUAACUAAAAGGAAAACAUUUUAGAUAUAUGUUAUUAUAAAAUAAGAUAAAUUCCCAUGCAUUUGGGAUGAUUUAAACAUGUUUCUUUAUAAAAUCAAGAAGAUUAGCUGAUUUAUAUGAUUUGCUUCAAUAUACUGGGCUUGCAACUGGAGAAGGC